UAAUGUCUGGGAAACUGCCUGAUGGAGGGGGAUAACUACUGGAAACGGUAGCUAAUACCGCAUAAUGUCGCAAGACCAAAGUGGGGGACCUUCGGGCCUCAUGCCAUCAGAUGUGCCCAGAUGGGAUUAGCCAGUAGGUGGGGUAACGGCUCACCUAGGCGACGAUCCCUAGCUGGUCUGAGAGGAUGACCAGCCACACUGGAACUGAGACACGGUCCAG
This 220-nucleotide ribosomal RNA is filed under the name uncultured bacterium. RNAcentral describes it as "partial 16S ribosomal RNA". It matches the Rfam family "Bacterial small subunit ribosomal RNA", at positions 111 to 334 of the family's 1533-position model. The record is from RNAcentral.